Molecule: long non-coding RNA, 1899 nt
Organism: Chelonus insularis
Lineage: Eukaryota; Metazoa; Arthropoda; Insecta; Hymenoptera; Braconidae
Exons: 3
Source: RefSeq, a predicted model, not a curated record
AGCAUCUGUAAAAAAAAAAUAUUAUUUUAGUUACACAGAAAAAAAUACUAUUUUGAAAUUCGAUAUAUGACGUCAGCAGUUGGGUAUAUUUUGUAGUAGGUUUCAUAUUUUUUGAAUGUGCUGACAUUUAUUCAAAUAUUUGUGCAUAUUUCCAUUCAAAAAUAUGACAACAAUGUCUUUGUCCUUAUUGGAAUUCAUAGUAAAUGACAAACGAAGAAUAGACUUCAAAAAAGAAGAAUACACUUAUUAGAAUGAUUGUCAACGAUGUCAAAUAAAAAGAAAAAAAAGCAAGUGUCAUACCAAGAGCUGAAAAUUGAUCAUUAUCUUCACAUUUAAUUUUUUCUACAUUUUUUUCAAUCAAUUUUACAUCAACACUUUUGCUAUUCAUACUUUCAAACACUUCAAAUCUUAAAAAAAUAUUCAAAAGGAAUGUCAGAUCUUUGGAAUGACCAAAAAAAAGGAUUAAAUUAACACUAUAAAAUAAUGACAAAUAAUAAUAUACUUAAAAAUCAUAAAAUUAGUAAAAAAAAAUAUUGUGGGAGUUAAGUUAGCGAUACACCGGAGAAUUCCAGACUAAAGAAGUCGCCUGAUGUGCAAUGAAAAGGAGUAGGAGAAGUGGUUCAUGCGUCUGCAAAAUGUGGAGGGAGAAUUCCAGGCAGUAAAACCAAAGAAAAACAAGAAUUCUUCGUCGACCUCGAGGUCGUCUUAUCGGUUCUUCCGGAAUUGGAUUGGAUAAUAAAAACUUCUGAAGCACGAUUCUAUUGACGAUUCGCAUUAUGAUGUAACACUAAGUUGUCCAGUCUCUAUUUAAAGAUGAUUCAAUAAGCUAAUUUUCCAAUCAAUCAAGAGUUACAGUAGUCAAUGAAUGAUCUACAGUUUUUAAUGAGUAAGUAUUUCACUCACUUAUGUGCUGUUCCCAUGGCUCGUGUCUUUGAAUCGUUGCCAAAUGAUUGGGGCUGAUAGAAACAACUGGUGACAUUGGUCUUGAAGUAUUCAUUGUGUUUAUAAAUACUUGAAAUUUUUUUGAUUUCUAAUCAAUAUUACAAAUAAACAAUUUAUAAUGAUGACCUUAUGAAAUUCACAAAAUUAUUUACGUUAAUGUAAGGAAUAAUCAAUGGCUAUAUUAAAUGUCACUAAACCAAAUUGGAGAUUUUGAAAAAGAGAUAACUUAAUAAUCAGUAAAACAUUUGCAGUUUGAUGCCAUGUGUUUAAGGAAUUGGAUUCAAACCAAAAAUAAAUCACAAAUUAGAACAAGAUUUUAAGAGAAUUCUAAAUUUUCUAUCUACAACUUGGAUUUAAUAAUUCUAUUCAAAAAGUAUAAUUGAAUAUCAAAAAUAAAAGCAUAGAAUAUUCAUGAGAAUUUACAGAAAAAAAGAAACAAUUUUUUUAAGAGGAAACUUUUUUUGGAAUUUGAUAGAAAAAUUCAAUGAUUAUUUAAUGUUGACAUAUAUUUUAUCAACAAUUGAUAUGAAAUAUAAUUGAUGAAAAGAAUCACUGAAUCUUGACAACUUGCAAUAAUAAGUCAACACGUGCUUCAAUUAAUAAUGUCUAAUGUUCACACGUGAAAAUCAAAAACAAAAAACCCGAAAUGUCUGGCAAGACUCAGCGAGACAAACUGAAGCCACGGUGAGCUUAGAUCAAAACGCGUUCUUAUUUAUGCUCAUCUGUUAUCUCUCUUGCUAACUCUUAGCAUGAGUAAUGUAGCUAAACGAAUAUAUUCUGUGGCCAGGGUGCGCCUUACUGUUCUAUCUCACUUCUUCCUAUGAGCAAAUGCAAAGACUUUUCACCUAGUUUCAACAGAACCAGACCAAAAAUAAAUCUACGACCACCGAAUGAAAUCUCUUAUAUCUUAAAUUUUUUCUAAAAAAAACAAAUGUUUUAAUAUAACAUAUUCAUCUA